RNAcentral lists this ribosomal RNA (161 nucleotides) under uncultured Alphaproteobacteria bacterium. RNAcentral's name for it is "partial 16S ribosomal RNA". It matches the Rfam family "Bacterial small subunit ribosomal RNA", at positions 383 to 563 of the family's 1533-position model. The record is from RNAcentral. Lineage: Bacteria; Pseudomonadati; Pseudomonadota; Alphaproteobacteria.
CUGAUCAGCAUGCCGCGUGAGUGAUGAAGGCCUUCGGGUUGUAAAGCUCUUUUGUCCGGGAAGAUAAUGACGGUACCCAUAGAAGAAGCCCCGGCCUACUCCGUGCCAACAGCCGCCGUAAUACUAAGGGGGCUAGCGUUGUUCGAAAUUACUGGUGGUAG